CGGGAGCCGCAGGAUCUGAGCUCUGCCUCUCUCUGAUAGUGCAGCUGGCAGAGGCAUCACGACGCCAUCCACAAGUCCCAGAGAGCAGUGACACACUUGAACUCUCAUCCAUGCUUCUGUGAUAUCCCUCACUAUUCAUAGUGUCACAACUUGACAGUUUGGACAAGAGCAUCCCUGACCGAGAGGCAUCUAACUUCAAAUCCAUUAGUCCAGGGGUCAGCAACCUUUCAGAAGUGUGUGCCGAAUCUUCAUUUAUUCACUCUAAUUUAAGGUUUCGCAUGCCAGUCAUACAUUUAAACAUUUUUAGAUGGUCUCUUUCUAUAAGACUAUAAUAUAUAACUAAACUAUUGUUGUCUGUAAAGUAAAUAAGGUUUUUAAAAU
This is a long non-coding RNA of Malaclemys terrapin pileata, 381 nucleotides long. RefSeq lists it as uncharacterized. The record is from RefSeq and is a predicted model, not a curated record. The transcript has 3 exons. NCBI's taxonomy places the organism in Eukaryota, Metazoa, Chordata, Testudines, Emydidae.